GGAGGCGGUCCUGGCUGUGCGGCGCAGCUCCCAGGUACAGAGUCCCCGAGUGUGAGCCACAGGGACAAUGGGGCCAAGGGCUGGAGUUCCCCUGCACGCCACCUCGUCUAUAUAUUACAAACAUUUCUGAGUCCUCGCUAAGCCCCAGACAGCGCGUAUAAGCAAGGGGACAAAGGGAGAAUGGGGCAGCCUGUUGUCCCGAUGAGCACGAGCAGUGCUGGUGCAUGUUGACCAGACAGGGGAAGGUUGUAGGAAGAGAGGUGCUGACAGAAACACAGAACCCUGCCAGCGUUCCGCAGUGAAGGGAGAAGUCACUGUGCCAUGGGAACUCCUGAAAGAAAUGGCAAUGACUCAGAUCGCUCUUCACCAGCUGAAGGUAUUCACCCCUGGCUGCUCAAGUAGAGCCUUAGUUUAGAAGGCAGACAGAAUGGCUGGAAAAGUUGACUGAAGGAGGAAGUAUCAUGUGAUUCUGAAGAGACCCUGCACGCGACUGGGGGUGUCUAGGAUGUGACCUCCAGUUUGUCUCCACACAGCAGAGAUCUGCAUCAUGAUGUCGAUGAGGAUGGGAAAGAAGAGCUGGGUGUUCCUUUAGGACAACAGAGAGGUUCCCGCUGUUGUGAAGAGGAGAGGAACUGUUUGGGCAAAGUCCUCCAUGAUGAUAAUGGUAGUGAGGGCUAAGACUGAUCGGGCAGGUCUUACCUUCCCAGAAAGCCAUGGUUCCUCAUCACCAGGUCCUGAGCAUCUUCUGAACAUGGGACCAAAGACUUCUGCUGUUCUUGGAUGUUCUUUGUCCCUAAUGUUUCCUGGGAUGAAUGCUUGGUUCUCAGUGUAAUGAGGUGUAAAAGGCAGCAGGCUUUUUAAAAGGCGGGGCUUGGUGGAAAGAGAUUGGAGCACGACCACCCAAGUGAAGGGAUCAGAGUUUGCGUCACAGAGGGUUUGGAGCGAAUGCUUGCACAGAGCAGGCCGUGGUUAAAGAGCAAGAGACACCCUGCUCACA
Molecule: long non-coding RNA, 997 nt
Filed under: Mus pahari (shrew mouse)
Lineage: Eukaryota; Metazoa; Chordata; Mammalia; Rodentia; Muridae
Description: RIKEN cDNA 9130019P16 gene (MGP_PahariEiJ_G0012265.1)
Source: RNAcentral